AUUGAACGCUGGCGGCAGGCCUAACACAUGCAAGUCGAGCGGAUGAAGGGAGCUUGCUCCUGGAUUCAGCGGCGGACGGGUGAGUAAUGCCUAGGAAUCUGCCUGGUAGUGGGGGAUAACGUCCGGAAACGGGCGCUAAUACCGCAUACGUCCUGAGGGAGAAAGUGGGGGAUCUUCGGACCUCACGCUAUCAGAUGAGCCUAGGUCGGAUUAGCUAGUUGGUGGGGUAAAGGCCUACCAAGGCGACGAUCCGUAACUGGUCUGAGAGGAUGAUCAGUCACACUGGAACUGAGACACGGUCCAGACUCCUACGGGAGGCAGCAGUGGGGAAUAUUGGACAAUGGGCGAAAGCCUGAUCCAGCCAUGCCGCGUGUGCGAAGAAGGUCUUCGGAUUGUAAAGCACUUUAAGUUGGGAGGAAGGGCAGUAAGUUAAUACCUUGCUGUUUUGACGUUACCAACAGAAUCAGCACCGGCUAACUUCGUG
RNAcentral lists this ribosomal RNA (484 nucleotides) under uncultured bacterium. RNAcentral describes it as "partial 16S ribosomal RNA". It matches the Rfam family "Bacterial small subunit ribosomal RNA", at positions 30 to 507 of the family's 1533-position model. The record is from RNAcentral.